Toxorhynchites rutilus septentrionalis is the source of this 952-nucleotide long non-coding RNA. RefSeq lists it as uncharacterized. The record is from RefSeq and is a predicted model, not a curated record. NCBI's taxonomy places the organism in Eukaryota, Metazoa, Arthropoda, Insecta, Diptera, Culicidae. The transcript has 3 exons.
GAAUAAUUAAACAAACCAAAUGGCAUCACUGAUGGUUCUUUUUUCCACUCCGCUAAACUGUCAUCUCAAACAAAACAAAUGCAUCAUACAACUGCUAUGAAUACAUUCGACUCGUUUGCUUCCAUCAAUCGGUAAGUGAGAAAGAAGAUUUCUCCCAUCACCACAGUGCGGAUUUCCACUUCUAUCACAGCAGCCAACAACAUCCGUUUUCCUGCAGCAGUAACCUCCAACCCCUAUUGGCAAUGCCGGGGGACAGCAUUAACAGCAGCAGCAGCAGAAUUUGACCAUGAUAUGCACCCCUAUUCUGUAUUCCGAUCGAUUCGAAAUAUUCCGAACGACUUGAUAAAAUUCUAUUCUGUAUUCCGUUCGAGUUGUUUUUGCAUUUCGUUCGAUCUGUUUCUCUUCAAACAUUAAAUGGUUAAAGCGUUCGAAAUAGAGAAUAUGAAAUUAUAACUCGAACGAAAUAACGGUUUCGAACGAAAUGAAAAUCCGUCGGAAUACAGAAUAGGGCUGAUGGUAUUGCGAAGAACUUUCCCCAUUAGAGGUUCCGUGCUUCGCGCACAUUCAAAAAUCCUCUUCAGACACGAAAACUCAACGACGAGGAGGUAUUUAUCAACUUGCUCAGCUGAAUUACCACCCGGAGGAACCCGAAUGCACUGAUUCCGUUGUAUAGUAGAAUGAAAAUAGGCGAGGUAAGCGAACGUAAUCGCAUGAUAUUUUAACGUUCGCAUUUUUAUCCGGAUCAUACAACUGCUAUGAAUACAUCCAACUCAAUCAAUCAGCGAGUGAGAAAGAUGAUUUCCCUCAUCACCACAUUGCUUAUUUCCACUUCUGUCACGCCAGCCAACAGCAUCAGCUUUCCCGCAGCAGUGAUUUCGCAAGUGAAGUAUUGCUGUGAUAUAUUAAAAAAAACAAUCUACUGAAAUACAUUGUCUUCGUUAUGUAUGUCAAA